This 768-nucleotide long non-coding RNA is filed under the name Helianthus annuus (common sunflower). The record is from RNAcentral. Lineage: Eukaryota; Viridiplantae; Streptophyta; Magnoliopsida; Asterales; Asteraceae.
AUGAUAGAAAUUUUAUUUAUAAAUGAUCAUAUAUUCAUAGAUCGACCACCAAGUGCACUGAACAAAAAUUUGGGUUACCCUUUUACAUUUUAUGUGGUUUAUGUUUUUCAUGGUGAUGAGACCCGUCAAUGAGACCCUAGACGAGGGUAACCCUUUUAUUUAAGAAAAAUAACUUAGAUUUGAUAAAUAAAAAAUAAAGACGGUCACUGUUAUUUUAAACUAUCAAACUCGUGCUUAAAAACUAGUAAUGUUUCCUAUUUGAAUGUAACCUUAUUAUUUGAUUGAACAAUUUAGGGUGUGCAACUAUUUUGUUAGGUCCUAAUGUUUUUAUAUCUUAGGUAUAAAUUCACGUAAAAAUGUGUAGAUAAAAGGUUUAGAUUAGUUAGAACUAGCUAGUUCUGUAGUAUAAUCGUGUGUUGACCAAAGUAUAAUCUUAGUGAAUUGUCUAAGUUUGUAAAAAUUAAACGUAUAUUAAUCAUCAUGAUAGAGUAUAGACUUCGUUGCGGUAAAGGUUUGUCAUUUACAUAACUCAAAAAAAAUUAAACUUAUAUAAUUUUUGUUAGUCAACUUAAGCUGAAUGCAUCAAAAACAGCCUAAAAUAUAGAAAAAUACUAAUGUGACAUGUAGUAUGUUGGUCCAUUAGACCAAGUAGAACUUGAUCCAUUGUUCGAGCAUCCAUAUUUGAGUUUAAUAUAUUAUCCUUUUAUAUAUUUAUAUUAUUAUAUAAGCCUUAAAAAUGUGUAGAUAAAAGGUGUCUAAAAGAUACAU